CUGGUUAAAGGUAAAGUUUUAAAUGUUUUAUGGAAAUGUUUAUUCAUGUUUGGGGAUUAUACCGACUGUACAGGAUGCUUAGUAGGCUUGCUACGGGUCCCAGCGGCCUUAUGCCGAUCUGGAUCCUAGCGCCGGUAGCGGUCCGGUUUCCGGGCUGUUACACUUACAUGCCAUAUAUGUCUUAUCCUCAUUAUUAUCCACCAUAUCCUAUGUAUCCACCUUCCCCUACCCAUCCAAGUGCAGCACACCCAGAGCUAAAUGAACCAG
Molecule: long non-coding RNA, 267 nt
Filed under: Manihot esculenta (cassava)
Lineage: Eukaryota; Viridiplantae; Streptophyta; Magnoliopsida; Malpighiales; Euphorbiaceae
Description: long non-coding RNA (MESC_LNC009663)
Source: RNAcentral